CCUACGGGGGACAGCAGUAGGGAAUUUUCGGCAAUGGGGGGAACCCUGACCGAGCAACGCCGCGUGAACGAAGAAGUUAUUCGUAAUGUAAAGUUCUUUUAACAGGGAAGAAAGAGAAAUUUGACGGUACCUGAAGAAUAAGCUCCGGCUAACUACGUGCCAGCAGCCGCGGUAAUACGUAGGGAGCGAGCGUUAUCCGGAAUUAUUGGGCGUAAAGGGUGCGUAGAUGGCAUAGUAAGUCUUUUGUAAAAAUGCUGGGCUCAACCCGGUAGGGCAAAAGAUACUGCAAAGCUAGAGUAUGACAGAGGCAAGUGGAACUACAUGUGUAGCGGUAAAAUGCGUAAAUAUAUGUAAGAACACCAGUGGCGAAGGCGACCUGCUAGAACAUAACUGACGCUGAUGCGCGAAAGCGUGGGGAGCAAACAGGAUUAGAUACCCUGGUAGUC
Molecule: ribosomal RNA, 446 nt
Filed under: uncultured bacterium
Lineage: Bacteria
Description: partial 16S ribosomal RNA
Rfam family: Bacterial small subunit ribosomal RNA
Source: RNAcentral